Molecule: small nucleolar RNA, 108 nt
Organism: Chlorocebus sabaeus (green monkey)
Lineage: Eukaryota; Metazoa; Chordata; Mammalia; Primates; Cercopithecidae
Source: Ensembl
UAUAGUGUGGCCAUGGGAUCUCCAACUGCAUGCAAGAGCAACCUGGAGAGACUUUGACAGAACAGGUCAGCAUAAUACCUGCAGCUGCCACUCGUCUUUCCUAUAGUG